AGGGAGGUGCCGCUGGGGGUGGAGAAAGAGGCAGCAGGAAGAAGCCAUGAAGGGGGGCCUGUGUGGAGAUGAGAGCAAGUAUAAAGAUAGGGCCACCCGCCCACUUAACGGGUCCACGUCACAUGUUCUCUCUGGAGGGCCCGGGCGGGGGCACCUGACGGUGUUCAGAGUUCUUGGCUUCUGAUGCUGCUCUCGGCUUGUCACAGAUGCUUGUGCCCAGAUUUAGGAGGACAACCAGCCUUAUUCCAGCCGCUGGCCUGCAGCUCCCGCAGACAACUUACAGGAGGCUCUUGGGACAGGAAGAGGAAGGCACGUUCCCAUAGUGAUGAAAGCAAGCUUGGGAACAUGAUAGUGAUAAUGACAAUAGUGAUGAUUAUUGUAGCAGUCAUCCAUUCCACACGGAUUACCAUAUGUUACGUCCUUUGGAGCAGAAAUGGACAUUCAUUUCUUCAAUGCUGACAUCAACCCCAUCAGCAUUUGGUGCCGUGACUCGGAUCGGCAGGCAACUGACUCUUGGGCCACACACCCAGUUGAGUCUCCUAGCCGAUAACCAGAUAACAUCCUGGAUUAAUCCCGAGCUUUUUCCUCUCCCGAGACGUUCCUGUCGCCAGCGGCCUGCACUCCGCAUCGGCCAGACUGAUUUCAGUUCUGAGACAGGUAAACCUAUACAAGGUGGAGCUGCCUGCCCCCUCCAUGGACCACGCUCAAAUGCAGCAGAAGAUACUGGGCAAGAAAAUGCCCCAUCCUGGCAUUCUUUGAGACCUUACUCCAGGGCUACUGGACUGUCCUAGCCACCACAGAGUGGAUAAGUCAUCCUAAAUAAUAGCCCUCACAGGAAAUGUUGACACUGCCAGAUUCGUCACUGACAGAAAAUCGCUGCUGAAGACUGAAAAGACUCAGGGCCAGCAGCCCCCUUUGUGUGUGUCCGUCAUGGAUUUCAAGUCGCACUAAAGUCUCAGGUAAGACAUUCUCUAUAUUUGUGGACAUAGAGGCCUUAUAUACAGAGUUCUUCCUGAGUAUUCAGGCUGCUAUAUUAAGUCCUCAAUCUCUAUGACAGGGUAUUGAUGGUCAACCUAUGCCAUUUACAUUACAAACAGGGCCUAUUUUGUGCAGGUCCCAGUCCUAAAUCUUAAAGUGCCUUUUAUACAGGCUGACUUAGACACACAGAGGCCUCAACAGCUUCCACCUGUUGUCACUGGUGGACCUCUCCUCAGUGAUAUAGACCACCCCUCUUUCUUUCUUAUUCACCAAUUUCUCAGGUACCCUGGUUAAGACUGACAGAUACAUUUUUAUCUUCUCACUUGGUUUAUACUUUUUCAGGAUACAUAAAAGCCUUUCUCAUACUUACUAAAGUUCUGUUACAGCAAAUCAUUCCAAGGACUACAACCAGGUUACAGCAACCCAUGCCUAAAUCAAAGUUGCUGGACUGCCAUCCUGGUUUCACAUCACUCAGGCUAAGAGGUGCCCUUCCAGCCCUAAAUCUGAUCAUUCUGAGUGGUCAUCUCAUCUUCUGUCGCCUACCCGUCUCCGUCUCACAAAGGCCUCGCAGCCACAGUUAACAGGCUAAGUCAUGUUUUGUUAUCCACUUUGAUUCCUAAUUUCUUACAUUCUAUUAAAGAAUCUUCAUAAUGUUCUAUAUGAUAACAGUUGCAGUUCUUUCUACCCUCAGCUGUCUGGUUAAACGUGACAUCCCUGAAAGCCUAAGCCCUUACCUUCCCUAUACGGGUGCAGCCACCGCUUUCCCUGCUCCCCCUAUUCUUUCCAGUGCAACUCCUGGACUGGAGACAAGUUUUAUACACCUACCCUCUUAACUUUUAUGCUUUCAGAUGGGGGAGUAAGCACCUCUCAUAACUCCACUCCUCCUAACCCCACGUUUAAUUUUCAGAAUUCUGCUUCACUGUGGAAAUGUUUCUACCUCAACAUGGUCCUGAUAGAAUGAUAUGUCUAAAUCAAAGGCACCUUUCCCUCUACCUCACCUGGGUCCUUAAUAUGACAGUGCCAUGUCUCCUCCUAACAUCUUGUCUCUUUGUUUUUCCAGUCUGACAUACGUGCAUUCACCAGUGAAGCUGUCAUGGCCAAAACACCUGGCACCAGCGUCUACCUGGGCAUCAACCUUCAUCCCGUCGACUCCCCUAGGCUCCAGUACAGCGCCCUUUGCCAGCAGGAAGUAGUUAAAGAGAGAAAUCUUUGCCCCUUUUCAUAAUAAUAAUAAUAAUAAUCAUAAGAUGGGAUAUGAAAGGGUUUUGGCCCAAACAGGACACUGUAGCUAGGAAAGCCACAACCGGAAGCAGGAAGCCCCAUCUCCCCUGCCCCUAGGAAGUUACCCGUGACGCCAUCUUCCCGCCCCUGGAAAUUUACAUAUGGCGCCAAACCUAGGACCAAUGGGCUACCUGUGUAUCCCUAAUGCCCGCCUUAGGUUCCACCCCAAACCAAGGCUAUUUACAGGCCCCCACGCCACGUGUCCACCAGAGAGAUCGCCGGACACCAGCGGUGGGGGUGCCGGUCAUCUCUCUCUGUGUUCUCAGAAUAAAGGCCACUUUUUAUUUUA
Molecule: long non-coding RNA, 2548 nt
Organism: Cavia porcellus (domestic guinea pig)
Lineage: Eukaryota; Metazoa; Chordata; Mammalia; Rodentia; Caviidae
Exons: 5
Source: RefSeq, a predicted model, not a curated record